UUCAAUUGUAUCAUACUUGGGAACUUAGCGAGUUGUCUGUCAAAUUACAUGGUGGUGACACUGUUUAGAAUCAAUGACAAUUUUAAAUAUUUCUCCUGAGAACUCGAGUUUAGAAAAUGCAUAUUUUGGUUCUAACAUACUUUAAAGAAUAGUGAAGGGCAGUUAGACCUUUUACUGAAAGAGAUAACUUAUCAUUUUAUUAUUUCCUUAAAUGUUAAUAGGUAGCUGCUUACCAGUGUAAUCAUCAUGUCUAUUCUUCAGGGAUCAAUAUCAGUCAGCAUGUCUAUACAUGAGACUCAUUUUUGCUUUGUAUGUUGCCACCUGACUGCUGGUGAAAAAGAUGGAGAUGAACUAAAGAGAAAUGCAGAUGCUGAGAAAAUUCUUAGAAAAACAGUGUUUUGCCCAGUUGGUAGAGUAGGCGUGCCCCAAAGAAUACAUGACCACGAAAUGAUUAUAUUGUUAGGGGAUCUCAACUGUCGCCUCAACUUAUCAUAUGAAACGACACACGAACUUAUCUCCAAACAGGACUGGGAUGGAUUGUUUGAGAAGGAUCAGCUGAAAAGAGAACUAGGGAAAGGAUGCACAUUCGACGGUUGGAUUGAAGGGUCUAUCAGCUUUGCCCCCAACAUAUAAAUAAGAGUUUAAUUCAGAAAAAUAUGUAAGUGAUGCUUCAAAAUCUGGGAGAAGAACACCGGCAUGGUAUGCUCCCG
Molecule: long non-coding RNA, 710 nt
Organism: Panicum virgatum (switchgrass)
Lineage: Eukaryota; Viridiplantae; Streptophyta; Magnoliopsida; Poales; Poaceae
Exons: 3
Source: RefSeq, a predicted model, not a curated record